AUGCCCUCUGCCUCGAGCGCCUCCUCCUCCCACUCCAGCGCCGCCGCUACCCUCGGCCCCCUCUCUCUAUCCAGUGAUGUCGCCUCUCCUCCCAUGUACGUGCGCCACCGCCCCUCCGCCUCCUCCUACCUGUCACCGUCUCGCCGCUGCAGCCGUCCCCAAGGCUUUCAACAAUUACAGUCAGGGCAGUCUUCUAAUUGUAUCAGCAACAUAUACUGCACCGUGGACCACCGGGUCAAGAACUCCAGCUUGGAAAAGUACCUUUACCAUGCACUAUGCAAUGACAGCUACCCAAAUGCUAAGAAUAACAGGUUCCUAUUUGCUGUUGAAAUCUCAGAAGAAAUUUAUGGAAGGUUUGUCUAUCAUUUCCAAUUUAUAUUCGCAGGAUCAGCUGAAACAGCAAGGCUUGGGCAAGCAAAAGAAGAGACAGAGAGAGAUAGCCGAGCAUCAUGCCAAACGGAGGCCGAUUUCCAAGGAAGCUCGCUAAGGGCUUUUGAUCAUUUAUAUUCUUGGCAUUUCAACUUCCAGACCAGCAGUGAUUCUGGCGCAAACGUCAAACGCCUUGAGCAAGAGACGAACAUAAAGAUCGAACAGCUGAAGCAGCAGAUGCUGGAACAUGCUUCCGUUUUCCUGACUCGUAUAGCAGAAUCGUUUGCUUCAUCUCCAGAGAAACUGGAUCAAUUGUGCAACCAUGGAUAG
RNAcentral lists this ribosomal RNA (699 nucleotides) under Triticum aestivum (bread wheat). RNAcentral's name for it is "partial small subunit ribosomal RNA". Lineage: Eukaryota; Viridiplantae; Streptophyta; Magnoliopsida; Poales; Poaceae. The record is from RNAcentral.